Molecule: long non-coding RNA, 2090 nt
Filed under: Mus musculus (house mouse)
Lineage: Eukaryota; Metazoa; Chordata; Mammalia; Rodentia; Muridae
Description: long non-coding RNA chrX:18226850-18228940
Source: RNAcentral
UUUUUUUUUUGAGAUAGGAUCUGAUAUAACCUAGGCCAGGCUUGAACUUAGCAGAAGUUAGUCCUUAACUCUUCCUUUUUUAAAUUAAAUUAAAUUUUAUGUGUAUGGAUGGUUUACAUGCAUGUCUAUCUGUAUACUACUUUUUCCUGGUGCCUGAGUAGUGUAUAAGAGAUCAGAUACCCCUGGGCCUAGAGUUAUAGAAGUUUGUGAGCUGUUAUGUGUGUGCGCAGGGAAUCGAUCCUAGAUUCUCUGAAACCAGUACUCCUAACCACUCAGCCAUGUCUUCCAUGUCUUGAGCCCCUAGUCCAGAAUUCUUGUUCUUUCUAUCUCCAUUUUCUAAGUCCUAUGAUAUGAUAUAUGUGUGUACUACCAUAACUUCAUUGGUGUUGUAUGUGGUUUUGUUUUGUGUGUCUGUUUUAUUGUUUUUGCCAGUCUACCCAUCCUCAGAAAUAUGAAAUCAAUGACCAUAUUUUUCAAUCAUACAGCAUUUUUUCCCCAUUAAAUUGGCCACUAAAUAUCUCCUGGGUUUAGUUGGUGGUGGGCAACUUAAUUAACUUAACUUUCUUAAUUCAUUUGUAAACUGAUUUACUAUUAUCUGAAUGUAACUUCAUUUCAGGGUGAUAAAGCCUUUUGUUUGAUCUUUUCUGCAUCACAUAAUACCCUGCCCCAGUUAGAUCUUAUUGGCAUUUUAACUCAGUUGAAUGUAUUUAGGGUGUGAUUUUAUUAUAUUUUAGUGCUGUUAAUGAUAAUUACUAUUAAUAAAUAGUAAUUUCUAUAUGUAUAUUUAAAGCAGUGUGCUAUAUGGCUGGUUCUCUAAAAGUACACUGAUUCUGACAGUCUGUAUACUGCCUCACAUUUCUAUACCGUGCUGUAUUAUUAAAAUUCUUUCUCACAUUUGAAAUUAAAAUAAGAACCAUGUUUUUCAAUUAGUCAAUACCGGGGCGUCUGUUUAAUAUAAUGAGGAUAAUGGAGAAAUUCUAGUGCGUACAUAUUUAAAUAUUAUUAAACCAUACCAAGUUAAGAGUUUAUAGAUUUGGAGAAAGGAGAAUUGACUUAGUGCUUAAGAACACUUCCUAUCCUUCCAGAGGACUUGAAUUUGGGUUCUAGAAUCUAUGAUGAGUGAUUUGCAACUGCCUGUAAGUCCAUCCUUUUUCUGUCUAGAUCCAACACCCUCUUUUAUUUUCAAUGGGCGCACACAAACGCACGCACGCACGCACGCAUGUACACCACACACACGCACACACUUAAAUCUUACUGCCCAAAGAACAUUGAGGUUGAUCAUUAGCAAUCUAUCUAAUUUAUCUAUUCUGUGCCUGUGGGUCAGAAGAAAACUUGUAGUAGUUGGUUCUGUCUUCUUACCAUGUGGAUCUCAGGGAUUUAAACUAGGUUAUUGGUUUUUAUCCAGUGAUCCAUCUCACGGACUCAUUUUGAGGAUUUUUUUUUUUAAAAGGGACUCCCGCAACUUUUUUUUUAUCAGAAUUUAUGGGUUAUUGCUAGUGUCUUUUUAUAAUUGAUAUUUGAAGAUAAUAAUGAUUAAAGGUUAAUAUGAAAGGAAUGAGAUAAGAAUACAAAACACAGUUAAAGUAAAAUAGAUCGAACUCAAAUGAUACUUUUAGAAAACAAAAAAUAAAAACAUGGCACUUUACCAGGUAUUGGUAUGACUUAAAUGAUUAGAUAGUCAGUGGAAGAAGAGGCUAUAAAAUGUUAAAAUGCCUAAUUGCAAUGUGGACUAAAAAGAAUUAGAAGAUAAAUUGGGUUUAUUUGUUGUCUAAAACUACCUGAUCUCAUUGUUUCUCUGAAUGCCUCAGUAUAUCAUUUUUAUCCUAUAUUAAACAUCAUACUUUUAUGCAAAAUAGCAGUUCACAUUCUUUUCACCUUACUGGGAAUUAUUCAUUUCUGGUUGUCUGAUUUGAUACGUAGCAAUCUUUGAAAAACAGAGUCUUGACAUGUAACUCAGGUUAGCUUUGAUCUUAUUGGCCUAGUCCCCCUGUCUCAGUGCCAAAGUUUUGGGACUACAGGUAUGAGUCACAAUAUCUGGUUCAAAAUUUGUGAAUUUUAUUCUCAGUUUUAAAUGGUUACAUAUUAACACC